AACAGCCCAACUCAAGAGUAAACCCAAAAUCCAAUCCAAUAUAUCUGAACCCUCACCAAUCACACAUUCAAUGGCUGAUUUGUGAGAAUGGACGAUUACAAAGGCACAGAGACUUUGAAUUUUUCUCUCAGCCUCUCAUUGUCUCACUCUCAUCGUUGUGAGCCCACGAUAUGGUGCUGUCCGCGUCGCCUUUCUUCCAUCGAUGCCAUUAGUGGAAGCCAAAUCACAAUUACUUCAGUUUCAAAUUAUACCUCAAUGUCCUCUCUCGUCUCUGUAGGUUGCCACUGCUAUGGAGGUAUACAUUUUGUUUAUAUUUUUUUCUUGUUAUUUUAAAAUAUUUUAAGAUGGAGAAUCUGAUUUGGGGUGAGCUGUGGAGCCAGAGGGUUUUGUGCUUUCACUGUUGUGUGCUAGGUAGUGCGUGGUGAGAUUAUUUUCAGAUUUUUAUAGGAUUAGAAAAUCAUGUUAUGGGAUUAUGAUUUAUUGCUCAAAUAUUAAAUGGGAUUCUGGGAAUAGGAUUUAUUGCUAACAUAUUCUAGUUCCUUUUAAAUAUUGAAUGGGAAUCCAAAAUGGGAUUAGGAUUUAGGAUUAUAUUCAAUCGAUGCUUCUAAAUCAAAAAUUAAAUAUAAAGAACUAGUUUGGUAAAUUUAUGUAUUUGCUUCUAAAACUUCCCACGGUUUUAAGAAAUGUUGGGUAAGUGAACGAAAAUUUCUAAUUUCCCUUUUGCUGGAACAAUAUCUAUAAUGCUUAGCCAUAUAUGCUAGUACAUAAAUUUCCUUUUUGCUACAACAAACAGAAAUAUUAUUUUUAGGUAUCAUCAGUAAACAACAAAAGAUAAAGACUGCUGCAAGUUAACAAUUACCUUAUUAAAUGGCCUAAAAUUGCAGCCCGUGCAGGAGAUAGACUCUUCCCUUAUUAAAAUACUUUUGAGGGCCACUAAAUUUAUUUUUACCAUUUACAAAUUUGGUUGUGUAAACAUGGCUUGUUAGUUGUUGGCACAAUAUUGAGAAGUAGUUGCCUUUGCUCUAUUUGGGUUAGAUAUUAUGCUACAACUCAAGCUCCCUGAUGGCCUCCCAUUUCUUGCUUACUUCUCUAUUUAAGUCGGGAUGAGACUUUUCAUGAGUUUCUUUUCUUCAUUCUAGGCUCAUAAGUUGUGAAGAAAUCAAGUUCAUUUCUUUCCCCACUUAAAUGCCUCAUGGCAGGCACGUUCUGCAAAAGUCCUGCACCUGGUGAACAACCAUUCGUGAAGGUAAUUGAUAUAAAUUUGAUGAUGGGAAAAGAAAAAAAUGAAGGUAGGAACGGAUUUGUAUUUUCAAAGUAGAUGUGUGUAUCAAUUUUUUUAUUUUUAUUUUUUGUAUACAACACAUGCUCAGAAGAAAUUAUUUUGUAAUUGGCUUUACCCCUAUUUAGACUAUUUCAAUGCUUUAUUUAUUCUUUCACGGUUCGAGGCUUCACAUCUCUCUGCGUUCGCAUCGUUACAUGGUUAUAUAAUCAUAAACUACAACCCCAUAUCUAUUGAUACCCUGAGUAGCUGCAUUUACGUGGUCAUGUUAUUCCAACAUCAUAAUUUAUUAGCUGCUAGAUGACACUAUAUCAGUGUUGACACUGUAAGUUAUCUGGUUUAAUCAUCAUUGGUUGAUGGCAUAAGUGAUAUACUAUUUUAAUCUUUCGUCACUUUAAAUGUGUCAUGAUUUUUCUUACAUU
RNAcentral lists this long non-coding RNA (1701 nucleotides) under Olea europaea subsp. europaea. Lineage: Eukaryota; Viridiplantae; Streptophyta; Magnoliopsida; Lamiales; Oleaceae. The record is from RNAcentral.